This 492-nucleotide ribosomal RNA is filed under the name uncultured bacterium. RNAcentral describes it as "partial 16S ribosomal RNA". It matches the Rfam family "Bacterial small subunit ribosomal RNA", at positions 29 to 507 of the family's 1533-position model. The record is from RNAcentral.
AGUGAACGCUGGCGGUAGGCCUAACACAUGCAAGUCGAACGGCAGCACAGUAAGAGCUUGCUCUUACGGGUGGCGAGUGGCGGACGGGUGAGGAAUACAUCGGACUCUACUUUUUCGUGGGGGAUAACGUAGGGAAACCUACGCUAAUACCGCAUACGACGUACGGGUGAAAGCAGGGGAUCUUCGGACCUUGCGCGAAUGAAUGAGCCGAUGUCGGAUUAGCUAGUUGGCGGGGUAAAGGCCCACCAAGGCGACGAUCCGUAGCCGGUCUGAGAGGAGGGUCGGCCACACUGGAACGGAGACAGGGUCCAGACUCCUACGGGAGGGAGCAGUGGGGAAUAUUAGACAAUGGGCGCAAGCCUGACCCAGCCAUCCCGCGUGGGUGAAGAAGGCCUUCGGGUUGUAAAGCCCUUUUGUUGGGAAAGAAAAGCAGUAGGCUAAUACCCCGCUGUUCUGACGGUACCCAAAGAAUAAGCACCGGCUAACUUCGUG